RNAcentral lists this transfer RNA (73 nucleotides) under Ochthebius viridis fallaciosus. Its description in RNAcentral is "transfer RNA-Leu". Lineage: Eukaryota; Metazoa; Arthropoda; Insecta; Coleoptera; Hydraenidae. The record is from RNAcentral.
UAAUGUUAUUUUGGCAGAAUAGUGCAUUAAAUUUAGAAUUUAAUUAUGUAAUUAAUUAUAUUACAAAUAAUAC